RNAcentral lists this ribosomal RNA (1491 nucleotides) under metagenome. RNAcentral's name for it is "bacterial SSU rRNA". It matches the Rfam family "Bacterial small subunit ribosomal RNA". The record is from RNAcentral.
AGAGUUUGAUCCUGGCUCAGAACGAACGCUGGCGGCAUGGAUUAGGCAUGCAAGUCGAACGAUCCAAUACUUCGCAAGAGGUGUUGGGGAGUGGCGCAAGGGUGAGGAACACGUGAGUAAGCUGCCCUUUAGUUGGGAAUAACCCCGCGAAAGCGGAGCUAAUACCGAAUGUGUCCAACACAUCGCAUGGAGUGUUGGAUAAAGGUUUACUGCUAAAGGAUGUGCUCGCGUCCCAUAAGCUAGUUGGUGAGGUAAUGGCCCACCAAGGCUAUGACGGGUAGGUGGUCUGAGAGGAUGGUCACCCACACUGGGACUGAGAACUGCCCAGACUCCUACGGGAGGCUGCAGUCGAGAAUCUUCCGCAAUGGGCGAAAGCCUGACGGAGCAAUGCCGCGUGCAGGAUGAAGGCCCUCGGGUCGUAAACUGCUGUCACCGGGGAUGAAUAAUGACAGUACCCGGGGAGGAAGUCACGGCUAACUACGUGCCAGCAGCCGCGGUAAUACGUAGGUGACAAGCGUUGUUCGGAUUUAUUGGGCGUAAAGGGUUCGUAGGAUGUUGAUUAAGAUUGGUGUGAAAUCCCAAGGCUCAACCUUGGAACUGCAUUGAUUACUGAUGAACUAGAGUGUCGUAGAGGAAAGCGGAAUUCCAGGUGUAGCGGUGGAAUGCGUAGAUAUCUGGAAGAACACCGACAGCGAAGGCAGCUUUCUGGGCGAUAACUGACUCUGAGGAACGAAAGCAUGGGGAGCAAACAGGAUUAGAUACCCUGGUAGUCCAUGCCGUAAACGUUGUGUGCUUGGUCUGAGCGGAUUCAACCCUGUUCGGAUCGGAGUUAACAUGUUAAGCACACCGCCUGGGGACUACGGUCGCAAGACUAAAACUCAAAGGAAUUGACGGGGGCCCGCACAAGCGGUGGAGUAUGUGGCUUAAUUCGAGGCAACGCGAAGAACCUUACCUGGGUUUGACAUCUAGCGCCUUUGACAACUCUUGGAAACAAGAGCUCUGGAUUCCGCAAGGAAGGUGCUGGACAGGUGCUGCAUGGCUGUCGUCAGCUCGUGUCGUGAGAUGUUCGGUUAAGUCCGGCAACGAGCGCAACCCAUAUUAUUAGUUGCUGCCAGGUAAUGCUGGGCACUCUAAUGAGACUGCCUGUGUUAUGCAGGAGGAAGGUGUGGAUGAUGUCAAGUCCGUAUGGCCUUUAUACCCAGGGCUGCACACGUACUACAAUGGUCGGUACAAUGGGAAGCAAUAUCGCGAGAUGGAGCAAAUCCCCAAAGCCGGCCUCAGUUCAGAUUGCAGUCUGCAACUCGACUGCAUGAAGAUGGAAUCGCUAGUAAAGGCGUAUCAGCAACGGCGCCUUGAAUACGUUCCCGGGCCUUGUACACACCGCCCGUCGCAUCAUGGGAGCUGAUUGCACCCGAAGCUACUGUAUCAACUGUCAAAGGAGAAAGGUAUCUAAGGUGUGGUUAGUGACUGGGAUGAAGUCGUAACAAGGUA